RNAcentral lists this ribosomal RNA (496 nucleotides) under uncultured bacterium. Its description in RNAcentral is "partial 16S ribosomal RNA". It matches the Rfam family "Bacterial small subunit ribosomal RNA", at positions 29 to 507 of the family's 1533-position model. The record is from RNAcentral.
AUGAACGCUGGCGGCGUGCCUAAUACAUGCAAGUCGAGCGAACAGACGAGGAGCUUGCUCCUCUGACGUUAGCGGCGGACGGGUGAGUAACACGUGGAUAACCUACCUAUAAGACUGGGAUAACUUCGGGAAACCGGAGCUAAUACCGGAUAAUAUAUUGAACCGCAUGGUUCAAUAGUGAAAGACGGUUUUGCUGUCACUUAUAGAUGGAUCCGCGCCGCAUUAGCUAGUUGGUAAGGUAACGGCUUACCAAGGCGACGAUGCGUAGCCGACCUGAGAGGGUGAUCGGCCACACUGGAACUGAGACACGGUCCAGACUCCUACGGGAGGCAGCAGUAGGGAAUCUUCCGCAAUGGGCGAAAGCCUGACGGAGCAACGCCGCGUGAGUGAUGAAGGUCUUCGGAUCGUAAAACUCUGUUAUUAGGGAAGAACAAAUGUGUAAGUAACUAUGCACGUCUUGACGGUACCUAAUCAGAAAGCCACGGCUAGCUACGUG